AUUUUAACAGUGCCAAUUUUCGUAAUUCUUAUAGGUUAUCCGAGAUGGAGAACCGCCAAAGGUUCCGGAAAGUUCGCCUGCAACUUAUGCAAUGCUGUGUACGCGCAAAAACGAAAUCUCCAGUCCCACAUGAAGUCGCACACCGGUGAAACAUUCUGCUCUCAGUGCAACAAAAGCUACUCGACAAAAUCCAACUUUCAACUUCACAUGCAGCUCGUACACAAGCAAAAAGUGUGAAAGCUCCGAGCAUUAUUAGAUUUGAGGUUUUCAAGAACUCGGCCGGGCGAUACGAAUGCACCAUAUGUGGAGCCUCUUACAGUCUGAGGGUCAAUCUGAUGGCGCAUCGAAAAGCUCAUACUGGUGAAACUUACUGUGAAGCCUGCAAUAAAAAUUACUCCAACAAGCAGAACUUUCAGAAUCACAUGGCUCGAUUUCACGGUGCUAGUUUUGGCAAGGGUCGUGAUCGAAACACGCCCGGGUUCAGUGUUGAGGAGUGAUCAGCUUUCCCUUGAUAUAUCAGUUGCGCUGGUCACAGAAUCCUAUUUUGAUGCCUGAUUCUUGUAGAGUAACUGGAAUUAAUAAGAUCCGUCCGAACAGCAACUGCCUACGCUCAGUAUCAACCGGCUCAGUAAUUCCGAUUUUGACGUCAUGUACCGCGGUAGAGAGACACCCUUGGUUUCUUCCACCUUGAUUUUAACAGUCAGUGAAACACACAUUUGUCUGUGUCACACUAUCAAAACUAGCCAUCAAAAUAUUAAGGUCAGGUGUUGUGAUUGGCUUAUUCGAUGACUUGGACCAAUCACAGCACUUGACCUCGACAUUGUGAUGGAGUAUUUUGAUAGUGUGACACAGGCGAUUUGCACAGAUAACUCAACGUGGAACGCGGAUGAAAGCAAGGUGGAAGAAACCGAGGGUUUCACAAUCGCGGUGGAUGACUUCAUAGACCGAAUUUUUCAAAGCGCGAUGUCUCGGUUAAUACUAAUCGUAGCAAGUUGCUGCUCGGACGGAUCUCAUUUUUUUAGCUAUUCAACACGAAUUAAGUGUCAGAAUACGAUUCUGUGACCAGCGCAAAUGACUCAUGUUCUCCUUCAGCUUUCUUCAACCGUGAUUAACUCAGAAAUGGGGCAGAUGCAACUCACCCUGUAUCAUGAAUAAUAAUUGUUAGUCUUACAUUUAUUCGCUCAAUUAUUUUCGAAAAUGUUUUGUGCCAUCUUAUUUUUGUAAGAGUCUCAUCAGUGCCGCUAUUUUCAAUUUUACUAUGAUUCUUUGAUUCAUAAGAGACACUCUAUCAGAAUAUCAAACGCAAUAAUAAUGAUCAGUUUUGGGGGUUUUUUUUCAAUCAAUUUCGAGAAAAAUUGAAUUUUUGUCUAUUUUAUUUCUAUAAGUUUCUAAUCAGUCCAUCAUAUUUUUUUCGAAAUUCCGUUGAUUCAGUUGGAAAUUAAAGGUCAAGUUUCUUUGAUCCUCAACUUUAUAUUAUUUCGUGUUUCUAGUAUCAAGAUCUGAUCCAUGCUUUAAUCAAAAAAUUUCCACCUUUUUUUUGAAUUACUGAACAUCAUAGUUUCAGUUGACUUACUCCCUUCUUUAGACCCACCUUAUUCACUAUUAUUUGUUCAUUAUUUACGUAACUUUCAGUAUGUUUUUUGUUCUACUAUUUAUGCUCUAUUUCCUUUUAUUACUACUUAAUGAAAGAUACGCCAAUAUGUGCCGAGAUGUUAUCUCUCCGUUUUAUUUUAUUUUUCUAUCCCUCAAGUCUUGUAAUUUUGUAUUUUUCUUUUUUUCCUGUCUAAUUUUAAACUUGAAAUAAAUUUUAUAAAAGAUUUUAAUUGA
Bemisia tabaci is the source of this 1827-nucleotide non-coding RNA. The record is from RefSeq and is a predicted model, not a curated record. NCBI's taxonomy places the organism in Eukaryota, Metazoa, Arthropoda, Insecta, Hemiptera, Aleyrodidae.